Molecule: ribosomal RNA, 46 nt
Filed under: Diaporthe australafricana
Lineage: Eukaryota; Fungi; Ascomycota; Sordariomycetes; Diaporthales; Diaporthaceae
Description: partial 28S ribosomal RNA
Source: RNAcentral
UUGACCUCGGAUCAGGUAGGAUACCCGCUGAACUUAAGCAUAUCAA